RNAcentral lists this long non-coding RNA (375 nucleotides) under Lupinus angustifolius (narrow-leaved blue lupine). RNAcentral describes it as "long non-coding RNA (LANG_LNC000414)". Lineage: Eukaryota; Viridiplantae; Streptophyta; Magnoliopsida; Fabales; Fabaceae. The record is from RNAcentral.
AAGAUCAAGAAAUUAAGGUGAAGAUGAAGGUGCUAAAGUCAUGGUUUGUUUUGCGUCUCACAUGUUUGCUGCUUCUUUUACUUGCAUGCAUAUGUGUACUUGGGUAAUAAUCCAUAACAAAUUUCUGAUUCCUAAUAUGACACAUACUUUGGUUCUUAAUUUUCUUGUUAAUCAACUAAUAUUGUUAUUAUUUUUGACAUAACAGAAUUGAAGGGUACAACGUUGUAAUUCAUGAAGCAUCAGGUAGGCCUUCUGAUCGUCCAUUACCGCGUCACUCGCCUCCCUCUGCUCCUACCACUCCUAUUCCAAAACAUCUAUAGAAGAUCUCCAAAGUCCAACCAAAACAAUUAUUUAUGUUUCUUCAUUUUACUCUCC